RNAcentral lists this unclassified non-coding RNA (379 nucleotides) under plant metagenome. Its description in RNAcentral is "partial contains 5.8S ribosomal RNA, internal transcribed spacer 2, and large subunit ribosomal RNA". The stretch from base 1 to 106 matches the Rfam family "5.8S ribosomal RNA", at positions 49 to 154 of the family's 154-position model. The record is from RNAcentral.
CGAAAUGCGAUAAGUAAUGUGAAUUGCAGAAUUCAGUGAAUCAUCGAAUCUUUGAACGCACCUUGCGCUCCUUGGUAUUCCUUGGAGCAUGCCUGUUUGAGUAUCAUGAAAUCUUCAAAGUAAAUCUUUUGUUAACUCAAUUGGUUUCUACUUUGGUAUUGGAGGUCUUUGCAGCUUCACACCUGCUCCUCUUUGUUCAUUAGCUGGAUCUCAGUGUUAUGCUUGGUUCCACUCGGCGUGAUAAGUUAUCUAUCGCUGAGGACACUGUAAAAGGUGGCCAAGGUAAAUGCAGAUGAACCGCUUCUAAUAGUCCAUUGACUUGGACAAUACUUUUAUGUUCUGAUCUCAAAUCAGGUAGGACUACCCGCUGAACUUAAGC